Bifidobacterium actinocoloniiforme DSM 22766 is the source of this 74-nucleotide transfer RNA. It matches the Rfam family "tRNA". Rfam says of the family: Transfer RNA (tRNA) molecules are approximately 80 nucleotides in length. Their secondary structure includes four short double-helical elements and three loops (D, anti-codon, and T loops). NCBI's taxonomy places the organism in Bacteria, Bacillati, Actinomycetota, Actinomycetes, Bifidobacteriales, Bifidobacteriaceae. The record is from Rfam.
CGGGGUAUAGCGCAGCUUGGUAGCGCGCUUCGUUCGGGACGAAGAGGCCGGGGGUUCAAAUCCCCCUACCCCGA